This 253-nucleotide ribosomal RNA is filed under the name uncultured bacterium. Its description in RNAcentral is "partial 16S ribosomal RNA". It matches the Rfam family "Bacterial small subunit ribosomal RNA", at positions 524 to 776 of the family's 1533-position model. The record is from RNAcentral.
UACGUAGGCAGCAAGCGUUGUUCGGAGUUACUGGGCGUAAAGGGUGCGUAGGCGGUCCUAUAAGUAUGGUGUGAAAUCUCCCGGCUUAACUGGGAGGGUGCGCUAUAGACUGUGGGACUAGAGUGUGGGAGAGGAAAGUGGAAUUCCUGGUGUAGCGGUGAAAUGCGUAGAUAUCAGGAGGAACACCGGUGGCGAAGGCGGAUCUCUGGGCCAUUACUGACGCUGAGGAGCGAAAGCGUGGGGAGCGAACAGG